This 452-nucleotide ribosomal RNA is filed under the name uncultured organism. RNAcentral describes it as "partial 16S ribosomal RNA". It matches the Rfam family "Bacterial small subunit ribosomal RNA", at positions 330 to 798 of the family's 1533-position model. The record is from RNAcentral.
CGUACACUCCUACGGGAGGCAGCAGUGGGGAAUAUUGGACAAUGGGCGCAAGCCUGAUCCAGCCAUGCCGCGUGAGUGAUGAAGGCCCUAGGGUUGUAAAGCUCUUUCACCGGUGAAGAUAAUGACGGUAACCGGAGAAGAAGCCCCGGCUAACUUCGUGCCAGCAGCCGCGGUAAUACGAAGGGGGCUAGCGUUGUUCGGAUUUACUGGGCGUAAAGCGCACGUAGGCGGACUAUUAAGUCAGGGGUGAAAUCCCGGGGCUCAACCCCGGAACUGCCUUUGAUACUGGUAGUCUUGAGUUCGAGAGAGGUGAGUGGAAUUCCGAGUGUAGAGGUGAAAUUCGUAGAUAUUCGGAGGAACACCAGUGGCGAAGGCGGCUCACUGGCUCGAUACUGACGCUGAGGUGCGAAAGCGUGGGGAGCAAACAGGAUUAGAUACCCGAGUAGUCCCAU